Long non-coding RNA from Harpia harpyja (harpy eagle), 1053 nucleotides. RefSeq lists it as uncharacterized. Lineage: Eukaryota; Metazoa; Chordata; Aves; Accipitriformes; Accipitridae. The record is from RefSeq and is a predicted model, not a curated record. The transcript has 4 exons.
CUAAAGGCUGUUAGAAAGAAAUACUUAGAGGCAGUGUUUUCAUUUUGUUUCAUAGCACUAAUGAAACAGGGAGGAACAUGUUUCUGCAGCAUCCUUCAGUUUGAUGAAAUUUAAAUUCUCAGUACUUAUUCUUGCAAGUGAGGAAAGAUCUAAGGACUAGACUCCAAGAUUUUACAAGUUGUAAUAAAAAGGAUUUUAUUUUUCUGUCUUUUAUUCAGUCAAAGGUCUAUUAAAGGCAGUGGUGGAGAAUGGGGAGCACUCUAUGCCCAGCAAUGCUGGGUAGACCUGCAAUGAGAAAUAAGCAUGUGUCAUGCAAGAGGAAAACCCUAGGAGAAUGUUUUAAAGCAGUGUUCCUAAGACAAUGUAGAAAUAAACAAGGACAAUGAAGGGCACGCAAAGAAGGACUGGAAGCCAACAAUAAAUGGAUACAAUGCUAGAAGAGCAGGUGUGUUUUCACUCAGAGGAAGCAGCUACGGAUAUGAAAAUGACUUAGCAGCUGGUGAAUAAGAAGACUGAAGCUGUGCCAGACGAAGGAAGUGAGCGUGUGUGUGUGUGUGUGCGUGUGCACGUGCAUUUUGCCACUAAUUAUGCAAAAAGGCCCAAACCCAUUGAUCAUGUGUUUCUCUCCCUACUUCACCAGGAAUGAAUCUUAAAGUGUGACAACUCUUUCAGAAAGUCAGAGUUAUUACCAGUGAUGUAUUUUCUGUAUUAGAACUGAGAACACUCAAUGAAUUAUCCUUUUUUUUUUUUCUUUAUCUUUUUGUACACAUAUUCCUGUUUACAACAUGGUAAGAACAAAAAUCAUUUGCAAGAAGCUGGUCUGCAUUUUUCUUUAUCAUUUAGUCCUCUUAGCUUCACAGACAACGAGGCUGUAUUCAGCCAAGCACGGUGUCAGUACGUUGUAGGCCACUACACAGCACAUAGCUUCAAGCUUUCUUUGCUUAAAGUUGGGGAAGAUUUACCAUAAAAUGCAGCAGGCACAGCUGCUGAUUUAUCUUUGGUGCAUGUAGACACCAAGAAAUUUUAGUUAAAACUUGAGCAGCCUGACUGCUC